GGUAGGAAUACCCGGGACGGGAC
This 23-nucleotide ribosomal RNA is filed under the name Trichoderma koningiopsis. Its description in RNAcentral is "partial 28S ribosomal RNA". Lineage: Eukaryota; Fungi; Ascomycota; Sordariomycetes; Hypocreales; Hypocreaceae. The record is from RNAcentral.